Molecule: ribosomal RNA, 292 nt
Filed under: uncultured bacterium
Lineage: Bacteria
Description: partial 16S ribosomal RNA
Rfam family: Bacterial small subunit ribosomal RNA
Source: RNAcentral
GUGCCAGCAGCCGCGGUAAGACGGAGGGUGCAAACGUUGUUCGGAAUCACUGGGCGUAAAGGGCGCGUAGGCGGACUUGUAAGUCGGGAGUGAAAACUCGGGGCUCAACCCCGAGCCUGCUUCUGAAACUGCGAGUCUUGAGGACCGGAGAGGAAAGUGGAAUUCCUAGUGUAGCGGUGGAAUGCGUAGAUAUUAGGAAGAACACCAGUGGCGAAGGCGACUUUCUGGACGGUUCCUGACGCUGAGGCGCGAAAGCUAGGGGAGCAAACAGGAUUAGAAACCCGCGUAGUCC